RNAcentral lists this ribosomal RNA (256 nucleotides) under uncultured bacterium. Its description in RNAcentral is "partial 16S ribosomal RNA". It matches the Rfam family "Bacterial small subunit ribosomal RNA", at positions 524 to 776 of the family's 1533-position model. The record is from RNAcentral.
GACGUAGGGCGCGAGCGUUGUCCGGAUUUAUUGGGCGUAAAAGAGCUCGUAGGCGGCUUGUCGCGUCGAAUGUGAAAAUCCCCGAGGCUCAACCUCGGGUCUGCAGUCGAUACGAGCAAACUAGAGUGUUGCAGGGGAGACUGGAAUUCCUGGUGUAGCGGUGAAAUGCGCAGAUAUCAGGAGGAACACCGGUGGCGAAGGCGGAUCUCUGGGCCGAUACUGACGCUGAGGAGCGAAAGCGUGGGGAGCGAACAGG